UAUGACAACAUUGGAUUCCUUGGUCCUGUUCCCCCCAAACCCAAAGGUACUUUGUUUGUUGACUCGGGCGGAAAGCAGUUGAAGCCCGCUGUUGCAGACCAGGAGGAGGAGGACGGUACGCAAUGGAGCUGCACAGCCUGCACCUUCCUCAACCACCCAGCCCUCAACCGCUGUGAAGAGUGCGAGUUCCCGCGGCACUUCUGAGCCAAAAAAACAGGCCCUUUUCGUGCCCCGCUUGCCCCUCUUUAUCCUCUGUUCACCCCAACUCUCAAGGCCAUGCUUUGGUGCAGUCAUUGUGCGUUAAUUUUUUUUUUUUUUUUUUCCCCCCCGCCCCUUUUGUUUCCUCUUGAGUUUUCUCCUUAGUAUGCUGUCCACUGUAGGUUUUACUGGACAGUGUUUACAACUUGUGCCUCCUCCUGAAGGCUGCCAAAGUCAAAUAAUACCUCACCAGAAGGACUGAGAUUGCGUGGUGGGGGUCUGCCUUUUUUUUUUUUUUUUUUGUUAAAUAAAAAAAACUGCUCCACAGGUGACACUCUAGACCAGCGUUACCUCACUGCUUCCACUUACAGUAUUACAAGGGUGGCCCAGCAUUGUGACGGUACACAAACACACGCGGGUUCCUCUGUGUUUUUUUUUUUUUUUUUUUCCUUCCUUCUUUUGUGGUGGUGUAGGUGUGGGAUUUCUGAUUCUUGUUAAGCCUAUGCUUAACACCUAAUGUUGAGAAAAAAAAAACUAACAGACUACGCCUGGAAUUUUACAUUUGUCAAAGCAGGAACCUGCUUUCCCGGUCUUCUGCCCCUCCCCCCCUACCCCAUCUUGUCACUUGUGAUAGGUUGCAUGUCUGUGUACAGAGGCAGAAACUCCCCAUGAGCUUUUUUACUGUACAUAUUUUCGAAUGUGCAUUAAGAGUUGUCUUCCUCUUCACACUAUGAAUCACUUGUAUUUCUUGUAAGUAUACCUUUAUAGACUUUAAUAACUGUUUGUGAUUUUUUUUUUUCUCUCUCUCUCCCUCUUUUAAACAAAAAUGAGUGCCAUGCUCCCAUUGGAAGCUUUUAAUGUGAUAUUUGUACGAGCUGAGGCUUUACAGAAGGAGAGGAACAAAACAUUCAUUAUAAAAACACCUGCCGGCUCAGUUUUUUUUUUUUCCUGCUUUUGUCAUGGCUAUGGUUUCUGCAAAGGACUUGCAGAUGAAGCGGGGAGUUUAUUAUUUUGUAGUAAUUUUUUUUUUUUCUAUGCUUUUCUACAAGGACACCAAAUCUGUUCACUGUUUUGUGGCUGUUUGGAGAGUAAAGAAUGGGUCAAAAAAAAAAAAAAUGGGCAAAACACAUUGCUGGGUUAUGACAACUGGAAUGCAGGAUGUGACGUUUUGGGAGGAAAAAAGGACACCCUAUUGCAAAGAGGAAUUGUAUCUCCCGAGACAACUGGUGUGUUACGCAGAUCCAUAACACAAGUUAAGGUCAAAAUUCUUACACUUUAUGGUUGUUACAAAGACAUUUUAAAAAGUCAUCAGCGUAAAAGGAAACAAAGAAAUAAUGAUUUAGGGUCAAAAUGAGCACAGUUAUCAGAGAUGUCCGAUAACGUCGGCUGACUGAUAUUAGCAUAAUUAUGUAAUAUUGGUAAGAAUCGUUAUCAGUUUUUUUUUUUUCUCCGAUAAUGAAACCCCAAGAAUGCAAUGCCAGAUAUGCUGGAAUCACUUUAAAAAAAAAAUUGAUUUUGUACGAACAGUGCUACUUUGUGGAAUGCCUUUAGUCUGGCAUCGCAGUAAAAGUAGAUCAUGUGCUAAUUCCAUGACAGUAAGUAUGUGAUGUGACCUAAAAAUAGUUUGGGGGGAGAAAUGGCUGCAUGUAUCAGUAUCGGUUGAUAUAUCGGUAAUUACGUGUUUGGACAAUAUCGGCAUUUUGGAUAUCGGCAAAAAGCUAAUAUCGGACAUCCCUUACUCACCCUCUUAAGUCUGUUGUGACCUAAAAAGGAUGUUUCUAAAGUUUACUUGGCAAUACUUUACCUUAACCGUGGUUAAUUCCUCUUAGAUCUAUUGAAUAUGUAUUGGUUAUCAAUUUUGUGAAGUGCCAUUUCUAUAAAAUAAACCUUGCUCUUGUGUAACCAAUUUGAAAUUAUAAAAUGGUUGUCUCAAGUACAUAAACACCCCCCCCCAAUCCAAGAGAGAAAUUAGUUAUCUGCACCACGGUAUGAAGAGACAGGUUAUUCAUGUUUUGCUAAAUAGAAAGAAAUAUUUGGACAUCCAAGGUUUUUUUUUUUAGCUGGUAAGACCGUCGUUGUAAUAAGUUAUUUGUAAAAAUAAAAAUAAAAAAAAUCUAUUCUCAAA
Cynoglossus semilaevis (tongue sole) is the source of this 2323-nucleotide long non-coding RNA. RefSeq lists it as uncharacterized. The transcript has 2 exons. The record is from RefSeq and is a predicted model, not a curated record. Lineage: Eukaryota; Metazoa; Chordata; Actinopteri; Pleuronectiformes; Cynoglossidae.